GGCGCGUGACUUGCUAGGAACACCGCAAGAGCAGUCAACGCUGAUUGCCCAUUCACGACAAAGGCGCCGU
This 70-nucleotide non-coding RNA is filed under the name Pseudomonas extremaustralis 14-3 substr. 14-3b. RNAcentral describes it as "narK RNA". It matches the Rfam family "narK RNA". The record is from RNAcentral. Lineage: Bacteria; Pseudomonadati; Pseudomonadota; Gammaproteobacteria; Pseudomonadales; Pseudomonadaceae.